AUUAUACUAACAAAGUGGGGUAGUAAAGAUGUAGAAACCCAAAGAAUUUGGCGGCAGUUUAUAUUAUUAGAGGAACUUGUCUCGUAAUUGAUAGUCCUCAUUUUAACUUACUUAGAUAAAUACUUAUAUACCGCCGUCAGCAGGGGAUAUUAUGAGAUUACCCCCGUAAUAUCAGAAGGUAGUAUGUCAGGUCAAGGUGUAGUACAUAUUUAAGAGAGGGUGAGUUACAAAGUAAAAAUAUAAACGGAUAUGACUUGUAAGAGUAUUUGAAGGUGGAUUUAAAAGUAAUAUUAUUGAAAAGUAAUGUGAGUAAGAAUUUAGGCUGUGCACACAUCGCCCGU
This 341-nucleotide ribosomal RNA is filed under the name Traverhyphes indicator. RNAcentral's name for it is "partial 12S ribosomal RNA". Lineage: Eukaryota; Metazoa; Arthropoda; Insecta; Ephemeroptera; Leptohyphidae. The record is from RNAcentral.